GGGAGGUAGUGACAAUAAAUAACAAUACGGGGUUCUUUAGGAUCUCGUAAUUGGAAUGAGUACAAUUUAAAUCUCUUAACGAGGAACAAUUGCAGGGCAAGUCUGGUGCCAGCAGCCGCGGUAAUUCCAGCUCCAAUAGCGUAUAUUAAAGUUGUUGCAGUUAAAAAGCUCGUAGUUGAAUUUCGGGAUCAAUACGUCGGUCGUGCCUUUGGUACGUACUAAUGUCAUUGAUUUCUCCCUUCUGAUGAAUCAUGAUGUCAUUAAUUUGAUGUUGUGGGGAGUCAGGACUGUUACUUUGAAAAAUUAGAGUGUUUAAAGCAAGCUCACGCUUGAAUACAUUAGCAUGGAAUAAUGAAAUAGGACGUUUGAUCCUAUUUUGUUGGUUUCUAGGAUUGACGUAAUGAUUAAUAGGGAUAGUUGGG
Molecule: ribosomal RNA, 422 nt
Filed under: uncultured Glomeraceae
Lineage: Eukaryota; Fungi; Glomeromycota; Glomeromycetes; Glomerales; Glomeraceae
Description: SSU rRNA
Rfam family: Eukaryotic small subunit ribosomal RNA
Source: RNAcentral